GACGUAGGGCGCGAGCGUUGUCCGGAUUUAUUGGGCGUAAAGAGCUCGUAGGCGGCUUGUCGCGUCGAAUGUGAAAACCCACAGCUCAACUGUGGGCUUGCAUUCGAUACGGGCAGGCUAGAGUUCGGUAGGGGAGACUGGAAUUCCGGGUGGAGCGGUGAAAUGCGUAGAGAUCCGGAGGAACACCAACGGCGUAGGCAGCGCCCUAGACGAGACCUGACGCUCAGGCACGAAAGCUCGGGGAGCGAACAGG
Molecule: ribosomal RNA, 253 nt
Filed under: uncultured prokaryote
Description: partial 16S ribosomal RNA
Rfam family: Bacterial small subunit ribosomal RNA
Source: RNAcentral